Molecule: ribosomal RNA, 497 nt
Filed under: uncultured bacterium
Lineage: Bacteria
Description: partial 16S ribosomal RNA
Rfam family: Bacterial small subunit ribosomal RNA
Source: RNAcentral
GAUGAACGCUGGCGGCGUGCCUAAUACAUGCAAGUCGAGCGAACAGACGAGGAGCUUGCUCCUUUGACGUUAGCGGCGGACGGGUGAGUAACACGUGGGUAACCUACCUAUAAGACUGGGAUAACUUCGGGAAACCGGAGCUAAUACCGGAUAAUAUUUCGAACCGCAUGGUUCGAUAGUGAAAGAUGGCUCUGCUAUCACUUAUAGAUGGACCUGCGCCGUAUUAGCUAGUUGGUAAGGUAACGGCUCACCAAGGCAACGAUACGUAGCCGACCUGAGAGGGUGAUCGGCCACACUGGAACUGAGACACGGUCCAGACUCCUACGGGAGGCAGCAGUAGGGAAUCUUCCGCAAUGGGCGAAAGCCUGACGGAGCAACGCCGCGUGAGUGAUGAAGGUCUUCGGAUCGUAAAACUCUGUUAUUAGGGAAGAACAAACGUGUAAGUAACUGUGCACGUCUUGACGGUACCUAAUCAGAAAGCCACGGCUAACUACGUG